UAGCCUUACUAUCAUCUGUUUCUCAUUUUACACAUGCAAGUCUCAGCACCCCAGUGAGAACGCCCUUUUAACCUACACCAGGAGAAGGAGCUGGCAUCAGGCACAAUCCCUGCCCAUAACACCUAGUCUCACCACACCCCCAAGGGUAAUCAGCAGUGAUAAAUCUUAAAUAUAAGCGACAGCUUGAUUUAGUUAGAGAAAAGAGGGCCGGCUAACCCGGUGCCAGCCGCCGCGGCUACACCGUGGGGCCCGAGCUGAUAGUCACCGGCGUUAAGCGUGAUUAAAGCCCUCAACAAUUAGGGUUAAAUUAAUAUUUAGUAGUGAUAAGCUUGUUAUUAAGAAAACCAUAAACGAAAGUUACCCUAAUUACACUUGAAUCCACGACAACUGGGAAAACAAACUGGGAUUAGAUACCCC
RNAcentral lists this ribosomal RNA (417 nucleotides) under Pelophylax cf. bedriagae. RNAcentral's name for it is "partial 12S ribosomal RNA". It matches the Rfam family "Bacterial small subunit ribosomal RNA", at positions 20 to 788 of the family's 1533-position model. Lineage: Eukaryota; Metazoa; Chordata; Amphibia; Anura; Ranidae. The record is from RNAcentral.